GAUGAACGCUGGCGGCGUGCCUAAUACAUGCAAGUCGAGCGAACGGACGAGAAGCUUGCUUCUCUGAUGUUAGCGGCGGACGGGUGAGUAACACGUGGAUAACCUACCUAUAAGACUGGGAUAACUUCGGGAAACCGGAGCUAAUACCGGAUGAUAUUUUGAACCGCAUGGUUCAAAAGUGAAAGACGGUCUUGCUGUCACUUAUAGAUGGAUCCGCGCUGCAUUAGCUAGUUGGUAAGGUAACGGCUUACCAAGGCAACGAUGCAUAGCCGACCUGAGAGGGUGAUCGGCCACACUGGAACUGAGACACGGUCGAGACUCCUACGGGAGGCAGCAGUAGGGAAUCUUCCGAAAUGGGCGAAAGCCUGACGGAGCAACGCCGCGUGAGUGAUGAAGGUCUUCGGAUUGUAAAACUCUGUUAUUAGGGAAGAAAAUAUGUGUAAGUAACUGUGCACAUCUUGACGGUACCUAAUCAGAAAGCCACGGCUAACUACG
RNAcentral lists this ribosomal RNA (495 nucleotides) under uncultured bacterium. RNAcentral describes it as "partial 16S ribosomal RNA". It matches the Rfam family "Bacterial small subunit ribosomal RNA", at positions 28 to 505 of the family's 1533-position model. The record is from RNAcentral.